AUGAACGCUGGCGGCGUGCCUAAUACAUGCAAGUCGAGCGAACAGACGAGGAGCUUGCUCCUCUGACGUUAGCGGCGGACGGGUGAGUAACACGUGGAUAACCUACCUAUAAGACUGGGAUAACUUCGGGAAACCGGAGCUAAUACCGGAUAAUAUAUUGAACCGCAUGGUUCAAUAGUGAAAGACGGUUUUGCUGUCACUUAUAGAUGGAUCCGCGCCGCAUUAGCUAGUUGGUAAGGUAACGGCUUACCAAGGCAACGAUGCGUAGCCGACCUGAGAGGGUGAUCGGCCACACUGGAACUGAGACACGGUCCAGACUCCUACGGGAGGCAGCAGUAGGGAAUCUUCCGCAAUGGGCGAAAGCCUGACGGAGCAACGCCGCGUGAGUGAUGGAGGUCUUCGGAUCGUAAAACUCUGUUAUUAGGGAAGAACAAAUGUGUAAGUAACUAUGCACGUCUUGACGGUACCUAAUCAGAAAGCCACGGCUAACUACGUG
RNAcentral lists this ribosomal RNA (496 nucleotides) under uncultured bacterium. RNAcentral's name for it is "partial 16S ribosomal RNA". It matches the Rfam family "Bacterial small subunit ribosomal RNA", at positions 29 to 507 of the family's 1533-position model. The record is from RNAcentral.